UUUCAUUAUUGCUGCCAUUUAUUUUAAUUUAAUUUGAUUCUACAUUUUGAGAUUUUUGGCUACCUGAUUUCUUUUUCUUCCCCCCCUGACAGGUUGAGGGCAACGGCAGUGAACGUUUUGAACUGUCACUACAGUUCUUGCACAGUGUUUCCAAGUCACCUUUUCCAUUAAAUACUGGAAAGCGAGCUGUUAAAUUUUCUGCACGGCUGCAGGAAAGAGACAAAGAUCUCAUUGAAAUGGGGACUAAUCUUGCUGAAGAUCUACAGUGUGGGGACAUUUUUCAUUUGUUUGCUUUAGUCUCAUUAGGUGAACUUUCAAUUUCCCCAUGUUUACCAGAUAAUGGUGUAGGGGAGGCCGAUGACUUGAGAAAUGCAAAGCGUAAAGUUGAUGCUAAUGAGCCUUCCUUUAGUGAUAAAGCUAAGAAACUGAAAUCAUUGUUUGGAACAGAAGGUGAAAUUAUUUCCCGCCGGGAAAAAGGUUUUCCUGGCAUCAUCAUUUCUGCACGCCGUACAGCAAUUUCAAGAACUGAUAUUUUAGAUAUGUUCAUGGAUGAUGAUAACAAUGGCCAAUGUUUUGAUGCGAAUUUUCAAUUAAACACCGGCCAAAGUAGCAAUGAUUCACUUCCUGAUCAUAUGCCAGAACUCUUUAACUCUUGUAACUCUGUACCAGUGGAAGAGAAUCAAGUUGACUCGCCCUGGGAAGCUAUGGCAGGCUAUGCACGACGUUUGAUGUUGGGACCUUCCAAUCAAGAAGUACAAACCAUGUGUGCUGAUGUCUUCAGAGUUGUUUAUGCUGCCAUUCAGAAGGCUGGUGACCAAGGAUUGAGCAUCGAAGAAAUUUCCCAACUUAUAAAAGGGCCAGGUAUUGUAAGUGCUGAGAUUUAACCUAGUAUAUGGUUGACUUAAAAUUGAUUAAUUUUUUUUUAAUUAUUUAAACUUCUCUGUGAUAGUUUAUUGUUUUAUAUGGCUUUAUGUCUUUCAGGAGCAGGGGUAGAUGGACUGAUUGUUGAUGCUCUUCAAGCAUUUGGAAAAGCCUUAAAGGUACUCUCCCUUCCUUGGUCCAAUGAUUCAUAGCAUGCUUGGAUUCCAGUCUGUUAAUUGUGGUCUGCCCCAAUGAAAAAGCUUUUUUUUUUUUUUUUUACUUAUACUCAAAUUAUAGUUCGAGACUGAAAUCAUGUUCAAACACAACCCCGUCAUUAUUUCCUAAACAUGUUAUUUGUGGAUGAAACUUAAGUUACACACCCCAAGCUAUGAUUUGUGGUGUGUAAACUAUAUACAAGUGUUAAAAAUAUAAUAUAAAACCAUUCAUAUGUCUUCACCCAAUAACUUAAUCUUUUGAGAUAGUUGGUUCACGGUGUAGUGUCGAAACCUUUAUGGGUAAGUCGUUCUUAAAUUAAUUGCAUGCUAUGAGACAGAUCAGUUAUGUGCUUAAAUUUAGCCCUAUAUUGUUACACUUUCUAGUCAUGUUUAUAUUGGUCAUCAUGAAAUUGAUAAUAUGAAGCGUGUUCAUAUGUUUGUGUAAGGCAUAAAGUCAGGAUUAUGUUUUCUCAUCAUGCUUGCCCAUAUUAUAGUGAUUGUCUACUACUGAACUUCUUUGGCUCCAAACUCUCCUAGAUGAGCUACUAUGAUCUGUAAUUCUGUAUAAUGUGACAGGUGACAUCUUAAGCAUGGUUUCCCUCUCUUACAACCCAAUCCUGCAUGCACCAAUGAAAAUAGGAAUAUAAAUCUGUUGUAGUAAAAAGAUAUAUCAAUCCCCAACUAAUAUAAAAAGGGAAUAGAUUCUGUCCUACAUGCUCGGGCUUGAGAGGGAGUGUUGGUAUGAUUUAUCUGAUAACCCAUGAAAAUAGAAAUAAAAUUCUGUUUUAGUUAGGAGAUAUAUCAAUCCCUGAAUUUUUAUCAUUUAGGUGUUUUAGAUGUAUUUAUAUUGUAUCUAGUUGUAAUUAUAAAGUUGAGUGCUAGGGUUUCUCUCAAGCAAAUGAAGCAAUCCAACCAGUUCAAGUUAUGUUUUUUCAUUAUUGCUGCCAUUUAUUUUAAUUUAAUUUGAUUCUACAUUUUGAGAUUUUUGGCUACCUGAUUUCUUUUUCUUCCCCCCCUGACAGGUUGAGGGCAACGGCAGUGAACGUUUUGAACUGUCACUACAGUUCUUGCACAGUGUUUCCAAGUCACCUUUUCCAUUAAAUACUGGAAAGCGAGCUGUUAAAUUUUCUGCACGGCUGCAGGAAAGAGACAAAGAUCUCAUUGAAAUGGGGACUAAUCUUGCUGAAGAUCUACAGUGUGGGGACAUUUUUCAUUUGUUUGCUUUAGU
Molecule: long non-coding RNA, 2304 nt
Filed under: Lotus japonicus
Lineage: Eukaryota; Viridiplantae; Streptophyta; Magnoliopsida; Fabales; Fabaceae
Description: long non-coding RNA (LJAP_LNC000906)
Source: RNAcentral